ACGGAGGGUGCUAGCGUUGUUCGGAAUUACUGGGCGUAAAGCGCGUGUAGGCGGAUUCGGAAGUCGGGUGUGAAAGCCCUGGGCUCAACCCAGGAAGUGCGCCCGAAACCACGAGUCUUGAGGUCCGGAGGGGAUCGGGGAAUUCCCAGUGUAGAGGUGAAAUUCGUAGAUAUUGGGAGGAACACCGGUGGCGAAGGCGCCGAUCUGGACGGAUUCUGACGCUGAGACGCGAAAGCGUGGGUAGCAAACAG
RNAcentral lists this ribosomal RNA (251 nucleotides) under uncultured prokaryote. RNAcentral describes it as "partial 16S ribosomal RNA". It matches the Rfam family "Bacterial small subunit ribosomal RNA", at positions 525 to 775 of the family's 1533-position model. The record is from RNAcentral.